This 85-nucleotide transfer RNA is filed under the name Felis catus (domestic cat). It matches the Rfam family "tRNA". From Rfam's summary of the family: Transfer RNA (tRNA) molecules are approximately 80 nucleotides in length. Their secondary structure includes four short double-helical elements and three loops (D, anti-codon, and T loops). Lineage: Eukaryota; Metazoa; Chordata; Mammalia; Carnivora; Felidae. The record is from Rfam by way of RNAcentral.
GCCUGGGUGGCUCAGUCGGUUGAGCAUCUGACUUCAGCUCAGGUCACGAUCUCGCGGUCCGUGAGUUCAAGCCCCACGUCGGGCU